GAAAAUCAGAUACAUACAGGUGCCCUGCCAUCUCACAAAAGAAACGGCAGGGAUAAUAGGGAAACAGGUGCAAGUCCUGUACGGUCCCGCCGCUGUAAGGAGGGAACAGUCUUUAUGGUCCACUGUGUCCGGGUCAUUCACACUCAGGGAUAUGGGAAGGCAAAGGCUGUGCGGAUCUCCAAGUCAGAAGACCUGCCUGCUUGUAGGGAACUGC
RNAcentral lists this non-coding RNA (214 nucleotides) under Lachnoclostridium sp. An118. The record is from RNAcentral. RNAcentral also lists the same sequence under 1 other name. Lineage: Bacteria; Bacillati; Bacillota; Clostridia; Lachnospirales; Lachnospiraceae.